Molecule: non-coding RNA, 21 nt
Filed under: Arabidopsis thaliana (thale cress)
Lineage: Eukaryota; Viridiplantae; Streptophyta; Magnoliopsida; Brassicales; Brassicaceae
Source: RNAcentral
UCGUUCCAACUAAUCUACCGA